RNAcentral lists this long non-coding RNA (320 nucleotides) under Mytilus galloprovincialis (Mediterranean mussel). Lineage: Eukaryota; Metazoa; Mollusca; Bivalvia; Mytilida; Mytilidae. The record is from RNAcentral.
CCCACGUGUUCUAGUAGAUUUUAGUGGCAUGACUGUAUUGUUUCCGAGAAAUCUCCGUUUUAAUCAGAAAUAGAAGGAAUGGAACUAUAUUGAUAUGAAACACUAUAUUGACGGUAUUGCUGAGAACGUAGUAAGAUCGCGGUAUGAACGUAGUAUAAUCGUGGUAAGAACGUGCUAUAAUCGCAGUAAGAUCGUGUUGCAAUCGGAUAACUCGUGGUAUGGUCGUAGUGAGAACGUGAAGAGCGUAGAAAGAUCUUUAUAAGCGUAGUGAGGUCGCAGAAUAAGCGCGGUGAGAACGUGGUUUAAUCGUAGCGGGAUCG